This 253-nucleotide ribosomal RNA is filed under the name uncultured bacterium. Its description in RNAcentral is "partial 16S ribosomal RNA". It matches the Rfam family "Bacterial small subunit ribosomal RNA", at positions 524 to 776 of the family's 1533-position model. The record is from RNAcentral.
UACGUAGGGGGCAAGCGUUGUCCGGAAUCAUUGGGCGUAAAGCGCGUGUAGGCUGCUUCGCAAGUCGGGUGUGAAAGCCCUGGGCUCAACCUAGGAAGUGCACUCGAAACUGCGAAGCUUGAGUCCUGGAGAGGAAGGCGGAAUUCUCGGUGUAGAGGUGAAAUUCGUAGAUAUCGAGAGGAACACCGGUGGCGAAGGCGGCCUUCUGGACAGUGACUGACGCUGAGACGCGAAAGCGUGGGGAGCAAACAGG